AAACAGCCCCCUAUGUUUUAAUUCUUUGGCAGUUUUGGACCCCCAAGGCAAAAAAAAAAAAAAAAAUUUCACACGUGGCACCUCACUUAGGGUGCAACGUCAGCGUUGACCGAGUCAACAAUGGACUGGGGGUCCAAAACUGACAAAGAAUCAAAACAUAAGGGGCUGUUU
RNAcentral lists this microRNA precursor (171 nucleotides) under Medicago truncatula (barrel medic). RNAcentral describes it as "MIR2619 microRNA precursor family". It matches the Rfam family "MIR2619 microRNA precursor family". The record is from Rfam by way of RNAcentral. Lineage: Eukaryota; Viridiplantae; Streptophyta; Magnoliopsida; Fabales; Fabaceae.